UACGUAGGGUGCGAGCGUUAAUCGGAAUUACUGGGCGUAAAGCGUGCGCAGGCGGUUUUGUAAGCCAGAUGUGAAAUCCCCGGGCUCAACCUGGGAAUGGCAUUUGGGACUGCAAGGCUGGAGUGCGGCAGAGGAGACUGGAAUUCCUGGUGUAGCAGUGAAAUGCGUAGAUAUCAGGAGGAAUACCGAUGGCGAAGGCAGGUCUCCGG
Molecule: ribosomal RNA, 209 nt
Filed under: uncultured bacterium
Lineage: Bacteria
Description: partial 16S ribosomal RNA
Rfam family: Bacterial small subunit ribosomal RNA
Source: RNAcentral